UACGGGGGGGGCAAGCGUUGUUCGGAAUUACUGGGCGUAAAGGGCUUGUAGGUGGCCAACUAAGUCAGACGUGAAAUCCCUCGGCUUAACCGGGGAACUGCGUCUGAUACUGGAUGGCUUGAGUUUGGGAGAGGGACGCGGAAUUCCAGGUGUAGCGGUGAAAUGCGUAGAUAUCUGGAGGAACACCGGUGGCGAAGGCGGCGUCCUGGACCAACACUGACACUGAGGAGCGAAAGCCAGGGGAGCAAACGGG
RNAcentral lists this ribosomal RNA (253 nucleotides) under uncultured bacterium. RNAcentral describes it as "partial 16S ribosomal RNA". It matches the Rfam family "Bacterial small subunit ribosomal RNA", at positions 524 to 776 of the family's 1533-position model. The record is from RNAcentral.